AGGGAUAAAUAUUCAGUACCUGUUAUUAACUGAUAAAGUCAUACAUAUGUAUGGAUCUAUUUUAUGUGAUAAUUAGAGAAUCUAGUUUUAGCAUCUGCUUUUACCUGAUAAACCAACUUUAUUAUUUUAAAUAAAAGAAAGGCAAUAAUUCACAAGCUAUGGGCAUCAGGAAGAUGCAAAACAAAGCUGUCAAAGAGGAGGAAGGAUAGGAGGACAACAUUUUAGAUGGAUACCCACUGCAGCAGGGUGGAGGAACAGAUCUGAGCUUCAGAUUGUUUAUUUGGCUGCCGAUAAGCCUAGCCUGUGGCCAGCUGAGAUCAGGUCCUCAGGAUCCAUCAGCACAAGAGGACUUAUGGUGACCUUCUGAGGAUCACUGACAUCAGUCACCACUGAAGCACAUACUUCUCCUUCCCUUUAUUCCCUGCCAAAAAUACCAUGGCCAAGGGACACAGGAGACAGGAAGACAGCUCAGGUAGCUUUUGGAAAGUUUCAUCACAGUGC
RNAcentral lists this long non-coding RNA (501 nucleotides) under Anser brachyrhynchus (Pink-footed goose). Its description in RNAcentral is "lncRNA (ENSABRG00000016584.1)". Lineage: Eukaryota; Metazoa; Chordata; Aves; Anseriformes; Anatidae. The record is from RNAcentral.